GACCUCAUGAGGUAAGAAGUCCUGAACUACAGUCCGGACGAGCAUGGCCGAAGCUGCCACAGAGGCUGCCGUGGAUAAUAUUUUUUUGGCGGAGGGCAUGUUAUUAGUGGAAGAAGACAUAAUCAUUCUUUGGGGGAGGAGAGAGAGAGAAUUG
Molecule: long non-coding RNA, 154 nt
Organism: Telopea speciosissima
Lineage: Eukaryota; Viridiplantae; Streptophyta; Magnoliopsida; Proteales; Proteaceae
Exons: 3
Source: RefSeq, a predicted model, not a curated record